RNAcentral lists this unclassified non-coding RNA (225 nucleotides) under uncultured Piskurozyma. Its description in RNAcentral is "sequence contains ITS2". The record is from RNAcentral. Lineage: Eukaryota; Fungi; Basidiomycota; Tremellomycetes; Filobasidiales; Piskurozymaceae.
AACUUAUCAACCGUGACUUGGGUUUAGGCCCCUGGCUCGGCUUGGAUUUGGGUGCUUGCGGCCUCGUGCUGCUCACCUCAAAAGGAUUAGCUGGACAUGUCGUGAGACUUGGUUCUACUUGGCGUAAUAAGUAUUUCGCUGAGGACAUCCCCUCGUGGGGUGGCCAAGACUCUGGUACAAAGGUCUGCUUUCUAACCCGAUCGUCCUCGGACAUCCCUUUUUAUG